AACGAACGCUGGCGGCAGGCUUAACACAUGCAAGUCGAGCGCAUCCUUCGGGGUGAGCGGCGGACGGGUGAGUAACGCGUGGGAACGUGCCCUCUUCUACGGAAUAGCCUCGGGAAACUGAGAGUAAUGCCGUAUACGCCCGCAAGGGGAAAGAUUUAUCGGGGGAGGAUCGGCCCGCGUUGGAUUAGGUAGUUGGUGGGGUAACGGCCUACCAAGCCGACGAUCCAUAGCUGGUUUGAGAGGAUGAUCAGCCACACUGGGACUGAGACACGGCCCAGACUCCUACGGGAGGCAGCAGUGGGGAAUCUUGGACAAUGGGGGCAAACCUGAUCCAGCCAUGCCGCGUGAUCGAUGAAGGCCUUAGGGUUGUAAAGAUCUUUCAGCUGGGAAGAUAAUGACGGUACCAGCAGAAGAAGCCCCGGCUAACUCCGUG
RNAcentral lists this ribosomal RNA (433 nucleotides) under uncultured bacterium. RNAcentral describes it as "partial 16S ribosomal RNA". It matches the Rfam family "Bacterial small subunit ribosomal RNA", at positions 29 to 507 of the family's 1533-position model. The record is from RNAcentral.